GUAAGGGUUUGCUGAGCAAAUGAAUGCUAAAGUGUAAACAAGGCUUCUCAAGUCUGCCUAAGAGCCUGCAAAGGACGACCUGCUCACAGGGCUUGGAAGCAAUCCUUUUUCAUGCUAAUUACAAACCCAUUCGGUAUUUGUGAAAUCGGGUCCCUCUGGGAUUUCUAUUUGCCAACAAGUUGUUUAUUUCCAGUGUAAAGGGGGUGGAGGGUCUAUGAAUUAUUGAGCAGCUACAAUGCCUUUGCCUGCACUCAGUGAGAGAUGGUCUAUCUUUAUCUUCACAGGCAUUCUUGGAGCCAAGCUUUGCCCCAUCCGCACCUGUGGAAUGGAGAUGUAGCCCCAAGGUGCAGAGCUGGAUUAAACGCAGGAAACGCUGAAAUGGGAAAUUAGAAGAGAAGGCUGACAGACAUUUGGAGCUUGGUG
This 423-nucleotide long non-coding RNA is filed under the name Sus scrofa (pig). Its description in RNAcentral is "lncRNA (ENSSSCG00070012156.1)". The record is from RNAcentral. Lineage: Eukaryota; Metazoa; Chordata; Mammalia; Artiodactyla; Suidae.